GAUCCUGCCAGUAGUCAUAUGCUUGUCUCAAAGAUUAAGCCAUGCAUGUCUAAGUAUAAACUGAUUUUAUACGGUGAAACUGCGAAUGGCUCAUUAAAUCAGUUAUAGUUUAUCCGAUUGUGCCGUUGUGAAUCGGAUUACCGUCCGGUUCGCUCCUACUUGGAUAACCGUGGUAAUUCUAGGGCUAAUACAUGCAAAAAAGGCCGACUGGAGGGGGAAAGGGUAAGGGGGUAUGGGCUUGCUCGUGCCUACCGCCCCUCCCAUUCUUCGGAAGGCCUGCAUUUAUUGGAACUAAAAACCAAUGCGGGGCCCCGUGCAGUUCGGCGUCAAAAACCGGACGGCGGGGACAAAACCCCGGCUAUACGCAUCGGUGAUUCACAAUAACUGCGCGAAUCGCAUGGCCUUCUUAGCGCCGGCGAUGGAUCGGACGAAUUUCUGCCCUAUCAACUAGACGGUAGGGUAGUGGCCUACCAUGGUUAUAACGGGUAACGGAGAAUUAGGGUUCGAUUCCGGAGAGGGAGCCUGAGAAACGGCUACCACUUCCAAGGAAGGCAGCAGGCGCGUAAAUUACCCAAUCCCGACACGGGGAGGUAGUGACAAGAAAUAACAAUGCAGGCCCUGAACAAGGGCUUGCAAUUGGAAUGAGUGCAAUUUAAAUCCUUCAACAAGGAACAAUUGGAGGGCAAGUCUGGUGCCAGCAGCCGCGGUAAUUCCAGCUCCAAUAGCGUAUAUUAAAGUUGUUGCAGUUAAAAAGCUCGUAGUUACCUUGGAAUUUGUUCCGAGGUGCUCGACCGGACACUCGCCUCGGGCUCUUUACUGAGCCCGUGGUAUUCUCCCUCCGGGUUGACGCUUGUGCGUUGUUCUUCGGAACAAUGUACAACUCUCCCGGGCAUGGGGUUUCGUUCUGCCCUCCUCCCCGCCCGCAGCCUCCCUGUCCUCUUCGGGGGACUUGGGGUGUGCUGCGGGAUCGGGGGGCGGAGGGACCAGAGCGGAGUUCCGGUCCGUUUACCUUGAAUAAAUUAGAGUGUUCAAAGCAGGCUUUUUUCGAAAGGCCAUGAAUACAUUAGCAUGGGAUAAUGGAAUAGGACUUUGGUCACUAUUUUGUUGGUUUUUUCUGUCUUAAGGACCGAAGUAAUGAUUAAUAGGGACAGUCGGGGGCAUUUGUAUUUAGUUGUCAGAGGUGAAAUUCUUGGAUCAACUAAAGACAAACUUCAGCGAAAGCAUUUGUCAAGGAUGUUUUCAUUAAUCAAGAACGAAAGUUAGGGGAUCGAAGAUGAUCAGAUACCGUCGUAGUCC
This 1296-nucleotide ribosomal RNA is filed under the name uncultured soil eukaryote. RNAcentral describes it as "partial small subunit ribosomal RNA". It matches the Rfam family "Eukaryotic small subunit ribosomal RNA", at positions 10 to 1026 of the family's 1831-position model. The record is from RNAcentral.